Molecule: long non-coding RNA, 574 nt
Filed under: Hordeum vulgare
Lineage: Eukaryota; Viridiplantae; Streptophyta; Magnoliopsida; Poales; Poaceae
Description: long non-coding RNA (HVUL_LNC000727)
Source: RNAcentral
UAUAGGUAACAUAUGAGUGUAAUAAUAGCAUGAAUAAUUUGGUUAGUAUGAAUAAUUCGGAUAGUAUGGGUAUUUUAGGUUGCCAGACAGAAACCCGAACCCUAACCCGAAAAUUAAAAAAUAAGAACCGAACCCUAACCCGAUAUCUGAAUUACCCGAUAAUUCGGGCAAUUCCGUUCGAUUUGGAUUCGGUAGCGGAUUAGGGUACCCAAAUGCCCAAGCUAUGUGUGAGUAAUGCCAUCCACAUGGGACCGGCUAUAACACUCUAAAAACUCUUCUCUCUUAUUUAAUGAACGGCCAAUUUUUUUUGCCUAAAAAGUGCUUGUGUGGAAGCGUGGAACAUGCAGGUAGCCUCGUCCUCCUUCCAGUUUGCCACUAGUCCAGACCAAAAACAACACGGCAACAAAGAAAAGACAAUCAUCUGUGCCACUCUCUGACUCCCAUUUCUUGGAUUUACCAACUGAUAACUGUGCCUGCAAAAUGUUGAUGCACUUUCUCAUGUUUGAGCACACCUUCCAUACCAGCGGGGUGCUCCAUUCCUGCCCAAUCCAUACAAGUAAACCUUGCACAUGCU